GUGGGUAUAGCUCACUGGUAGAGUGCAUGCUUAGCGUGCAUGAGGUGCUGGGUUCAAUCCCUAGUACCUCCA
This 72-nucleotide transfer RNA is filed under the name Camelus ferus (Wild Bactrian camel). It matches the Rfam family "tRNA". From Rfam's summary of the family: Transfer RNA (tRNA) molecules are approximately 80 nucleotides in length. Their secondary structure includes four short double-helical elements and three loops (D, anti-codon, and T loops). Lineage: Eukaryota; Metazoa; Chordata; Mammalia; Artiodactyla; Camelidae. The record is from Rfam by way of RNAcentral.